This 460-nucleotide ribosomal RNA is filed under the name uncultured bacterium. Its description in RNAcentral is "partial 16S ribosomal RNA". It matches the Rfam family "Bacterial small subunit ribosomal RNA", at positions 338 to 795 of the family's 1533-position model. The record is from RNAcentral.
CCUACGGGGGGCAGCAGUGAGGAAUAUUGGUCAAUGGACGAGAGUCUGAACCAGCCAAGUAGCGUGAAGGAUGACUGCCCUAUGGGUUGUAAACUUCUUUUAUAUGGGAAUAAAACGUUCCACGUGUGGGAUUUUGUAUGUACCAUAUGAAUAAGGAUCGGCUAACUCCGUGCCAGCAGCCGCGGUAAUACGGAGGAUCCGAGCGUUAUCCGGAUUUAUUGGGUUUAAAGGGAGCGUAGGUGGAUUGUUAAGUCAGUUGUGAAAGUUUGCGGCUCAACCGUAAAAUUGCAGUUGAAACUGGCAGUCUUGAGGACAGUAGAGGUGGGCGGAAUUCGUGGUGUAGCGGUGAAAUGCUUAGAUAUCACGAAGAACUCCGAUUGCGAAGGCAGUUCACUGGACUGCAACUGACACUGAGGCUCGAAAGUGUGGGUAUCAAACAGGAUUAGAUACCCCGGUAGUC